Molecule: ribosomal RNA, 253 nt
Filed under: uncultured bacterium
Lineage: Bacteria
Description: partial 16S ribosomal RNA
Rfam family: Bacterial small subunit ribosomal RNA
Source: RNAcentral
UACAGAGGGUGCGAGCGUUAAUCGGAAUUACUGGGCGUAAAGCGUGCGUAGACGGUAGCGUAAGUCAGAUGUGAAAGCCCCGGGCUCAACCUGGGAACUGCAUUUGAGACUGCUCUGCUCGGGUGCGGAAGAGGGAAGCGGAAUUUCAGGUGUAGCGGUGAAAUGCGUAGAUAUCGGAAGGAACACCAGUGGCGAAAGCGGCUUCCUGGUCCGACACCGACGUUCAGGCACGAAAGCGUGGGGAGCAAACAGG